UACGAAGGGGGCUAGCGUUGUUCGGAAUUACUGGGCGUAAAGCGUGCGCAGGCGGCCAUUCAAGUCAGGGGUGAAAGCCCAGAGCUCAACUCUGGAACUGCCUUUGAGACUGUGUGGCUAGAGUGCGGGAGAGGUGAGUGGAAUUCCCAGUGUAGAGGUGAAAUUCGUAGAUAUUGGGAAGAACACCAGUGGCGAAGGCGGCUCUCUGGUCCGAUACUGACGCUGAGGUGCGAAAGCGUGGGGAGCAAACAGG
Molecule: ribosomal RNA, 253 nt
Filed under: uncultured bacterium
Lineage: Bacteria
Description: partial 16S ribosomal RNA
Rfam family: Bacterial small subunit ribosomal RNA
Source: RNAcentral